This is a long non-coding RNA of Xiphophorus maculatus (southern platyfish), 638 nucleotides long. RefSeq lists it as uncharacterized. Lineage: Eukaryota; Metazoa; Chordata; Actinopteri; Cyprinodontiformes; Poeciliidae. The record is from RefSeq and is a predicted model, not a curated record. The transcript is spliced from 3 exons.
UGACCCAUUUUGUUUGUAAAAGCUCUAACCGUGCCAAAACUUUAAAAUGUGAAACACAAGCAAAUAUGGCCUUUAAACAGCACAGCUUGUGUAACAUAGUUAAAAUGGUUCAGGUUAAAUCCUGCUAAAAUGCACCAUCUGCUGGUAAAACGGGGUAUUGCAUUCACCCUAGAAAGAGCGGGGUAUUAUGGGUAAUCCUCAGAGCCAUGAGGAUCACUGUCGAGGAGUUUCUUUCAUGCCAGAGACUGACUUUACCUCGGUGCCCAUGUGUGAAAUGCAGGUGGAGAAAUAAAGAAAACAACUGAUGCCAGAUUGAGCUCCUAGUCAUUCAUUUCUGCACCAAGAAGCCACCAGAUCCACAUAGGCCACACUUGCAACCAAGUACAUGAACUCAUCCAGGCACACGUGCAGAAGAGGGGCGAAGAAGGCUUGAGCCCCUACCCCUUUUAUUUUUGAUGCCCUAGUGCCCUUUUUAGGGUUUUUUUUAAAUAUAUGUAACCGAUAUUAGAUAUACGGGUGAAAUUCUUGCUAAAAUAUGUUUUGUAAAUAUCUUUGUAUGUAUUUCAUAAUUGCCUUGUGAUUAGUGGUGUUUGGCGCCCCCUACUGGUUGCCUAUAAAUGCGAGGGGAAAUUGGAAAU